Molecule: microRNA, 22 nt
Filed under: Octopus vulgaris (common octopus)
Lineage: Eukaryota; Metazoa; Mollusca; Cephalopoda; Octopoda; Octopodidae
Description: Ovu-Mir-12577_3p (mature (guide))
Source: RNAcentral
UGUGUCCCACAGUUCCAACUCU